AUGUUUGCUCUUAUAAAAAAAUAGUUGUUAUAUUGUAAAUAUUCUAUUAAAUAGUAUCGCAAGGAAACCAAUUGGUCCCGGCUGCAGAUUACGAAGAUCUAAGCCAACAAUACCUGGAAGAAUGCAAGGGACAUUAGCUUCCGAUGAAGAAAAUACUUCUGAAUACUCACAUCCUCCGUCCAGUCAGACCUCCACUUUAGAGAGUAAUCCGGAUGUUCAAAGGGUUCUUCGUAAUAUACAACAUUCCCAAAAAAGAAAGGAAAUAGACGACGCUUCUGACACAUCGAGUCAAUCGGAAACGGACGAAAUCAGUGAAGUUACAAUCGCGUCUCAACCAGCGAAUGGAACUAUGAAAAUGGAGAGCCGAGUAUAAGAGUACUGUAGUAUAAUUUUUAUAUUUGAUUUUUAUGAACGCGCUAUAUUGAUAGGUUAGAUUUAUUGCCUAAAUGAAAUUCAAUAAUUACAGCAUUCUUCAUUCUGUAACUUAUGUUAAAUAUUGUAGAUAUUCAUAUAUAUAUAUACAUACACACACAAAUAAUGACAUAUAGAUAAACGUACAUAGGACAUACAUGCAUUACGUACAUCCAUAUAUACACAUAUACUGAAAAUUAUUUAGAAGAAAUAGCAAAAACGAUUGGGAAUUCGAGACUUUACAUCUCAAUGGAAUAUUGAAGCCGCAUAGUUUUCCAAACAUUCUUCACCAAUAUGUACAAUCAAUCACAUACAUGAAUUAGUAAAAAAUUAGAUUAAUAUUGCUCAAGUUUAUUUGAGUAUACAUAAGAUUUUUUUUAUAUAUAUAUAUACCACAUGAGAUCAUGAUUCUAGAUUUAUAAUGUAAUUUUCGUCCAACAAAUCUAAAUACUGCUUCGAAGGAUGUUAUUCACAAUGUAAUAAUUGUAUCAUUCGAAAUCGCUACAUACAUCGUACAUUAUAUAUGCCUCGCAACAGUCAUUCACAUUAAUGAAUGAUAAGAUAUAUAUAAUGUCCAACAUACAUACUUCAGGAAUCGUAUAUUUAUUUUUUUCAUGAUACCUAGUAUUUUUCAUCCAUUAGUUUAAUAGUUACUUUCGAAUAAAACGCAUAUAUACGUCAUUUUUAAGUCACAAAUUUAUUUUAAACUGUGCAUACACUCAAAUUGGCAUAGAAACAAAUUUUCUAUCAAUUUAAAAUGCAGACAGUCAAAACUCUUCAAAUUCAUAUAUAUUUCCCUGCUUAUGUAUAUGUCUAUAUCAAACGAAAUUGAAAGGCAGCUGUGAAUAAUAAGAUGCUUUCAUAAUUAUGAAAGCAUCUAACUAAAGAUAUUAUGCGCGAACGUUUAAAUACAAAC
Molecule: long non-coding RNA, 1327 nt
Organism: Formica exsecta
Lineage: Eukaryota; Metazoa; Arthropoda; Insecta; Hymenoptera; Formicidae
Exons: 2
Source: RefSeq, a predicted model, not a curated record